ACAUCAGGUCUCUUGAUAGAGGAUGGAAUUUUCUGCAUAGCAACUCCUUUUUAUUUAAUGACUUGCAUAACAACAAUCAUCCUUGUAGAGACACAUAGAACUGAGGAGUGCUUCAGAACUGUGGCAUGAGACAUGAAAGAAGGAUUGAUAAACCUACAUGAGGAGAAUUGAGGUAGAAGGCUCUCUGAUACCAAAAGGAGACCACGCUGCUAAACACCAAGGGGAGGCUCAUGCUUCCCUAAUAUCCAUCACUCCCUGCUUCCAACGUGGUCACAGACAGAGCAACAAAG
This 290-nucleotide long non-coding RNA is filed under the name Apteryx rowi (Okarito brown kiwi). RNAcentral's name for it is "lncRNA (ENSARWG00000011177.1)". The record is from RNAcentral. Lineage: Eukaryota; Metazoa; Chordata; Aves; Apterygiformes; Apterygidae.